AGAGUUUGAUCCUGGCUCAGGAUGAACGCUGGCGGCGUGCCUAACACAUGCAAGUCGAACGAAGCGUCUUGGAGGAAGUUUUCGGAUGGAAUCCGGGAUGACUGAGUGGCGGACGGGUGAGUAACGCGUGGGUAACCUGCCCUGUACUGGGGGACAACAGUUAGAAAUGACUGCUAAUACCGCAUAAGCGCACAGGACCGCAUGGUCCGGUGUGAAAAACUCCGGUGGUACAGGAUGGACCCGCGUCUGAUUAGGUAGUUGGCGGGGUAACGGCCUGCCAAGCCGACGAUCAGUAGCCGACCUGAGAGGGUGACCGGCCACAUUGGGACUGAGACACGGCCCAAACUCCUACGGGAGGCAGCAGUGGGGAAUAUUGCACAAUGGGGGAAACCCUGAUGCAGCGACGCCGCGUGAGUGAAGAAGUAUUUCGGUAUGUAAAGCUCUAUCAGCAGGGAAGAACAUGACGGUACCUGACUAAGAAGCCCCGGCUAACUACGUGCCAGCCGCCGCGGUAAUAC
RNAcentral lists this ribosomal RNA (518 nucleotides) under uncultured bacterium. Its description in RNAcentral is "bacterial SSU rRNA". It matches the Rfam family "Bacterial small subunit ribosomal RNA", at positions 8 to 526 of the family's 1533-position model. The record is from RNAcentral.